CCUACGGGUGGCAGCAGUGAGGAAUAUUGGUCAAUGGACGAGAGUCUGAACCAGCCAAGUAGCGUGAAGGAUGACUGCCCUAUGGGUUGUAAACUUCUUUUAUAUGGGAAUAAAACGUUCCACGUGUGGGAUUUUGUAUGUACCAUAUGAAUAAGGAUCGGCUAACUCCGUGCCAGCAGCCGCGGUAAUACGGAGGAUCCGAGCGUUAUCCGGAUUUAUUGGGUUUAAAGGGAGCGUAGGCGGAUUGUUAAGUCAGUUGUGAAAGUUUGCGGCUCAACCGUAAAAUGGCAGUUGAAACUGGCAGUCUUGAGUACAGUAGAGGUGUGCGGAAUGCGUGGUGUAGCGGUGAAAUGCUUAGAUAUCACGAAGAACUCCGAUUGCGAAGGCAGUUCACUGGACUGCAACUGACACUGAGGCUCGAAAGUGUGGGUAUCAAACAGGAUUAGAUACCCCAGUAGUC
Molecule: ribosomal RNA, 460 nt
Filed under: uncultured bacterium
Lineage: Bacteria
Description: partial 16S ribosomal RNA
Rfam family: Bacterial small subunit ribosomal RNA
Source: RNAcentral